Molecule: long non-coding RNA, 5888 nt
Organism: Rattus norvegicus (Norway rat)
Lineage: Eukaryota; Metazoa; Chordata; Mammalia; Rodentia; Muridae
Source: RefSeq, a predicted model, not a curated record
CACACCGGGAGAAGGAAUCAGAUUGUGUUGCAGAUGGUUGCGAGCCACCAUGUGGUUGCUGGGAUUUGAACUCAGGACCGCUGGAAGAGCAGUUGAAAGACCCCAGCUUAGCAGCAGUAACGCCAUUUUGCAAGGCUAUAUUUAAGAUGACUGGUUCAGAGAAAGGUUAGAACACUGAGUACACAGCGGCUGCCAAACAAGAUGUGUUUGGUUGAAGGCCUGGCAACAGGAGGACUGCCGUUGAGCACCUGACAAUGAGAAAAGCCCCGGGAGAGGUCCCACACCCUGGUGGGGGGCCGAGUCAGCCGUUAUGUUCCAAGAAGGUAGCUAAGAAACUUGCCCCCAGGCUGAACCCUUGGGGGGCCGAGUCAGUCCUUAUGUUUCAGGAAGGUAGCUAGGAAACUUGCCCCCGGGCUAAACCCUUGCCAUAUUAGAAUCCACCAAUUAUAUCCCUGUAACCAUGCAUCUGCUUCUGUAUGCUUGCUUCUGCUCCCCAAAAUCCUAUAAAAGCCCAUCCUUGGUUCCAUGGGGCGCGCCAGUCCCCCGAGUGACUGAAGCGCCCGCAGGUGCCUGUGCCUGUGUAUCCCGACAAUAAACCAAAUCCUCUUGCUGAUUGCAUCCUGUGGUGUCUCGGUCUGGUCUUUGGAGUUGGAGGGUCUCCAUCCCGAGGGAAAGUUCUCCCAGAGAGCUUUUCAUUUGGUGCGUUGGCCGGGAAAGGAGAUCCUCCACCCAGGGACCACCGACCACCCACUGGGAGGUAAGCUGGCCGGCGUCUGUCUGUCUGCCUGAUUUUGUCUCGUUCUGCCUUAUUCUGUCUGUUCUGUGAGCGCUCAGCCAGGUUCUGUGAGCGCUCAGCCAGGUCUGUUCUGUGAGCGCUCAGCCAGGUCUAUUCUGUGAGUGCUCAGCCAGGUCUGUUCUGUGAGUGCUCAGCCAGGUUCUGUGAGCGCUCAGCCAGGUCUGUUCUGUGAGCGCUCAGCCAGGUUGUUUGGAAUUUGGGCGGGACGAAGAAGGAGCUGACGAGCUCGGACUUCUCGCCCUGCAGCCCUGGAAGACGUUCCAAGGGUGUUAGGGGCCCGACUUUUCGGGGCCCAAUCUGGGAGAGGAGAAAGAUCCGGACUAACGGCACCUCUGUCUGUAUUUUUGGCUUUCAGAGGGCCCCGGACCUUUGCCACCUCCACCUGACUUUUUGCUUUCAGUUUGGUACCAAAGCCGUGCAGCACGCCUGUCUGUUGUUUGUUUGACUGUUGGUGUUGUUUGUUUUCUCUGUGUUCUAAUCUUCCUUAGAACUAACAUGGGACAGUCCCUAACAAUGCCCCUAAGUCUCACUCUUGAUCAUUGAGAAGACGUCCACGACCGGACACACAACCAGUCCAUCGAGGUUAAAAAAGGAAAAUGACAGACUCUCUACACAUCCGAGUGGCCCACUUUCGGAGCGGGAUGGCCAGUGAAUGACACAUUUAAUAAGAUCAUUAUUUUACAGGUUAAAGAUCGGGUCGUCCACGGACAUCCUGACCAGGUUUCUUAUAUUAUCACUUGAGAGAGUCUCGCCUUAACCCCCCCCCGGGCGGAACCCUUCGUGAACCCGAAUUGGCCUCCCCUCAACCCCCAGCCUGUCCCCUCGGCCCCGCCCGGUCCGCCGGCCACGUCUUCCUCUCUCUACCUUUGUGAAAUCAGAGCCUUCUAAGAAACCUGUCCUCCCGGCAGACCCAAACUCCCCUCUCAUAGAUCUUCUCUCUGACAGGCCCGGCUGAAACGGAGGAGGCAGAGCCGCCGGCCAGAUCAGUUGCCGGGCCACAGUCUGAUAAGGGUUUCUCCCCUGUCGCAGGGAGAUUGCGCAAUAAGCGCGAGGUGAUGCCAGAUUUCAACCUCCCAGGCUUUCCCACCUAGACAGGGAACCGGUGGCCAGACCCAAUACUGGCCGUUUUCAGCAGCUGACAUUUACAAUUGGAAACAACACAACCCUUCUUUCUCCAAAGAUCCGGUGGCACUCACCGACCUAAUAGAAUCUGUUUUACUUACCCACCAGCCUACUUGGGAUGACUGCCAACAGCUCUUACAGGCCCUCUUAACCUCAGAAAAAAACAAAAAACAAAAAACAAAGAGUGUUCCUAGAGGCCAGAAAGCAUGUUCUGGGAGAUGAUGGGCGUCCCACCCAGCUGCCUGAGGACCAAACUGAGAUUUUAAUACAGCUGAAGGUAAGGGACACCUACGCCUUUAUCGCCAGUUGCUUCUAGCGGGUCUCCGAGGGGCUAUACGACGCCCUACUAAUUUGGCUCAGGUAAAACAGGUAUUACAGGAAGCAGGGGAAACUCCCUCCGCCUUUCUAGAGAGACUUAAGGAGGCCUACCGUAUGUACACUCCCUAUGAUCCAGAUGACCCAGGACAAAUGACGAGUGUCUCUAUGUCCUUCAUCUGGCAGGCUGCUCCAGAUAUCAGGACUAAGUUACAGAGGUUAGAAAAUUUGCAGGGCUAUACAUUACAGGAUUUACAUAAAGAAGCUAAAAAGAUUUUUAAUAAGAGAGAGAAUUGAGUCGAAUCUUGGCCGCCGUAGUUCAGGGCCAAGAAAGGAAGGGAGAUAGGGGGGAGCUCGAAAGGGGCUGAAGCUGGAUAAAGAUCAAUGUGCCUAUUACAAAGAGAAAGGACACUGGGCCAGAGAGUGCCCCAAGAAGCCUGGCGGACCCCGAAAGCCUCGACCACGAACCUCCCUCUUGGCUCUAGAUAAAGAUUAGGGAGGUCAGGGCCAGGAGCCCCCCCCCUGAGCCCAGGGUAACGCUUAAGUUGGGGGGCAGCCGGUUACUUUCCUGGUAGACACAGGAGCCCAGCAUUCAGUCCUCACUCAAGCUUCAGGACAACUCAGCGACCGGACGGCCUGGGUACAAAGAGCUACUGGUGAGAAACAAUACCGAUGGACUACGGACCGCCGGGUUCAGCUGGCUACUGGUAAGGUGACCCAUUCCUUCUUACAUGUUCCGGACUGCCCGUACCCUCUGCUGGGCCGUGACCUGCUCACCAAACUAAAAGCACAAAUUCAUUCUCAGGAAAGAGGGGCCCGAAUAACUGGCCCCCACGGAACUCCCCUUCAAGUUCUAUGAAUAUAGACUAUAUGAACUGGGACAGGACAAGCCACAAUCCCUAGAAAUAGACACUUGGGUCACGAAUUUUCCACUGGCUUGGGCAGAGACUGGUGGGAUGGGGUUGGCACUCCAACAGCCCCCCUUAAUUAUACAGUUAAAGGCCACUACAACUCCAGUCUCCAUAAAACAAUACCCCCUGUCACAUGAAGCUUAUCAAGGUAUAAGGCCUCACAUUACGAGGCUUCUAGAUCAAGGCAUCCUAAUCUCCUGCCGGUCGCCUUAGAAUACGCCUCUUCUGCCUGUUAAGAAACCCGGCACUGGAGAUUAUAGGCCAAUACAAGACUUGAGAAAGGUCAACAAGAGGAUAAAAGAUAUUCAUCUGACUGUUCCAAACCCUUACAAUUUGCUCAGUAACUGUUCAUUGAUGAGAAACGGGUAUGCUAAAGGGGUCCUAACACAAAGGUUGGGACCCUGGAAACGCCCUGUGGCCUACCUGUCUAAGAAAUUGGACCCUGUGGCCUCCGGCUGGCCACCGUGCCUAAGGAUGGUGGCUGCUAUUGCUGUCCUGAUCAAGGACGCUGGAAAAUUGACUUUGGGACAGUCACUCACCAUCCUAACACCCCACGCAGUGGAGGCCUUGGUAAAACAGCCCCCAGACCGCUGGCUCUCUAAUUCCCACAUGACCCACUACCAAGCCUUGUUACUGGAUGCAGAACGGGUUCAGUUUGGGCCCGUAGUCGCCCUCAAUCCUGCCACCUUGCUUCCUCUACCAGAGGAGACAGAACAGCAUGACUGACUACAAAUCCUCGCAGAAAUACAUAGAACCAGGCCGGACCUAUCGGACCAGCCUCUUCAGAAUGCUGACCACACAUGGUACACAGAUGACAACAGCUUCUUGGCAGAGGGAGAACAAAAAGGCUGGAGCUGCGGUCACUACGGAGGACAAAGUGAUUUGGGCGAAAGCCCUGCCUGCUAAUACCUCUGCACAACGGGCUGAACUCAUCGCCUUGACUCAGGCGCUCAAGAUGACAAAAGGUAAGAGGCUAAAUAUAUAUACAGACAGCCGUUAUGCCUUUGCCACGGCACACAUCCACGGGGAGAUCUACCGGAGGCGGGGGCUGCUCACAUCUGAGGGUAAAGAUAUUAAAAAUAAGGCUAAAAUUCUGGCCCUCUUAGAAGCCCUAUUCUUGCCCAAAAGACUGAGUAUUAUACAUUGUCCAGGACACCAGAAAGGGCACAACCCAGAGGCACGAAAAAACCGGCUGGCCGAUGCCACGGCGCGAGAAGCGGCCAUGAACAAACAAAUCUUGCCCUUAAAUAGCCCAGACCAACCCACGCCCCCACCAGUGGGACAAACUAGUUGGGUUUAUGCCCAUGAGGACAUAGAGCUCCUAAAAAAAUGGGGGCCAUCUACCACCCUCAACUAAAACAGUGGGUCUACAAAGGACUUUUGAAUUGAUCUCCUUUUUACAUAAGAAGAUAAAAACCUUACUAGAUCGAGAAGAGAUAAAUCUGUGUUUUUUUUUGAAUUGGGACAAAGCGAUACAAAAGGUGACUGAGAGUUACAAAGCGUGCGCUCAGGUUAACCCGGGAAGGACCAUGAUUGGACAAGGAGUUCGUCCUAGGGGACACCGUCCCGACAUCCAUUGAGAAAUUGAUUUUACUAAAAUUAAACCAGAUAUAUAUGGAUACAAGUAUCUCCUAGUGUUUGUAGACACCUUCUCAGGAUGGGUCAAAGCCUUCCCCACGAAGCACGAGACUACAAAAAUGGUCACCAAGAAGCUCCUCGAGGAAAUCUUUCCCAGCCCUUCUCUGAGGGCCCAUUUACAGGCCCUACAGAUUGUGCAGAGAGACGUCUGGAGACCUUUGGCCGCUGCUUACCAGGACAAGCUUGAACAUCCGGUGGUGCCACACCCGUUCCAGAUUGGAGACACCGUGUGGGUGCGCAGACACCAGACCAAGAAUCUCGAGCCACGGUGGAAAGGACCCUACACCGUCCUCCUGACUACCCCGACCGCCCUAAAGGUAGACGGAGUCUCGGCUUAGAUCCACGCACCACACGUCAAGACAGUCCGGUCUGAGGAAUUGACUAAUCACAACACUACACCCCAGACAUGGAGAGUUCAGCACACUCCAAACCCCUUAAAGUUAAAACUCCUACGUGGCUCCUCCUAGUCCUUUUGUGGCCUAGAGUCAGUGGGGGAAUAAGCCCCCACCAGACAGAAAUUUCUUGACCAAGUCGAGUGAAAGAUUUCACUCAAAGUUAACAAAAAAAAAAAAAUGGGGGAAUGAAAGACCCCAGCUUAGCAGCAGUAAUGCCAUUUUGCAAGGCUAUAUUUAAGAUGACUGGUUCAGAGAAAGGUUAGAACACUGAGUACACAGCGGCUGCCAAACAAGAUGUGUUUGGUUGAAGGCCUGGCAACAGGAGGACUGCCGUUGAGCACCUGACAAUGAGAAAAGCCCCGGGAGAGGUCCCACACCCUGGUGGGGGGCCGAGUCAGCCGUUAUGUUCCAAGAAGGUAGCUAAGAAACUUGCCCCCAGGCUGAACCCUUGGGGGGCCGAGUCAGUCCUUAUGUUUCAGGAAGGUAGCUAGGAAACUUGCCCCCGGGCUAAACCCUUGCCAUAUUAGAAUCCACCAAUUAUAUCCCUGUAACCAUGCAUCUGCUUCUGUAUGCUUGCUUCUGCUCCCCAAAAUCCUAUAAAAGCCCAUCCUUGGUUCCAUGGGGCGCGCCAGUCCCCCGAGUGACUGAAGCGCCCGCAGGUGCCUGUGCCUGUGUAUCCCGACAAUAAACCAAAUCCUCUUGCUGAUUGCA